Molecule: unclassified non-coding RNA, 454 nt
Filed under: Hevea brasiliensis (rubber tree)
Lineage: Eukaryota; Viridiplantae; Streptophyta; Magnoliopsida; Malpighiales; Euphorbiaceae
Source: RNAcentral
AGGUCAUUAACAAAUAAGACCAUAUAUCUAUGACCCAAACACGACAGGACCCAUACAUCAGAAUGAAUAAUUUCAAAUGGUUUCUGAGUUUUAUGCUCAACUGAGGUAAGAGGAACUUUAAACAGUUUUUCUAAGUAACACGACAAACAAGAAGACAUUGAAGACUUUGACACUGGCAAAUUGAGCUGAGAAACAAUUUUUGAAACUUUGUAUUGGUGAGGAUGGCCAAGACGGGCAUGCCACUCAUCUAUACUGAGCUGAUCAACUGUAAAAGCUUGUUUUAUUGGUGGAUAUAAUGUAUAGAUGCCAUUUUCACUUGCUCCCCGGAGAAACACCUUCUUGGAAAUCUGAUCCUUCACAACAAAGAAGGUAGGCCAGAAUUAAAAGAAACUAGAAUCAUCAGAGGUGAAUUUUUGAAUAGAUAAUAAAAUUUUCACAAUUGUGGGAAUACAAA